Molecule: unclassified non-coding RNA, 290 nt
Filed under: Hevea brasiliensis (rubber tree)
Lineage: Eukaryota; Viridiplantae; Streptophyta; Magnoliopsida; Malpighiales; Euphorbiaceae
Source: RNAcentral
UAUAGAAUCUAGGGUGACAAACAAUGUACUGAUUCAUAAGAAAAUCGAAUUUCGGGAUUUUCAUAUAUGCCUUUAGAUGAGGGAACAUGGUAACACAAUUCAAAAAGCCAAAAGUUAGUUUUCCCAUUUCUAUACAGAAUUUCAGACAAUGAAUGACAACAUUAAAGCAAUUGACAACUAAGAAGAGUUCUAACAAACUGAAUGAUUAUGUACAGAAAGGACUAUUUGUCAACAUGAUUGUCAAGUAACUAUUCUAAUAUUAGCUAAGCUUCAAAUUCAUCAAGUGGAGA